RNAcentral lists this long non-coding RNA (219 nucleotides) under Elaeis guineensis (African oil palm). RNAcentral's name for it is "long non-coding RNA (EGUI_LNC060798)". Lineage: Eukaryota; Viridiplantae; Streptophyta; Magnoliopsida; Arecales; Arecaceae. The record is from RNAcentral.
GUGGACCAACAGAUGAGACCCUAUGCAAGAAAACAUGCAUGGAGAACGUGGAAGAAAGUUGGAUAGCACCAGGAACCAUUUUAAAAGGAAUACGAUUACUAAGAAGUGGAAGAAUGGGAAGUAAUGGUUUCUUAGAUUUAUUUAAGAUGAAUGUAAUUGUAUUUCAAAGACAUCGAAAGAUCAAUGAAAGACUCUAGUUUUAUCCUUUUACUUUUAGCU